GUUCUUUACCAUAUUUGUGCUUUGGAAAAUGAGGAUUUUCUGCUUGAUUAUUGCUUAUAAUCCAAGAUAACAGUUAAAGUAAAUGAAUUAGAAAAUGUUCAUUAACAUCAAAUACAAAUCAAGAAGUUGGUUCUUCCAUGGAAGCAUGUGGACGUAAUUUCAGUUGUAGUCCAUAGGAGUAGCUAAGUAGAGCUGUUGGUGAGGAGAUGAUAUACUUAGGUUUAUACCUUGGACCAGGAAAAACAAAAUGUAUCAUUUUAUGGAAGGCUGAAAGCAGAGGAGGAAUUUGAGUUGUUCAGUUGCAACCUCCUCUUUUCAAGCCCUCAAUCUUUCCCAGCAUCUGGGUCUUUUCCAGUGAGUCGACUCUUUGCAUCAAGUAGCCAAAGUAUUGGAGUUUCAGCUUCAGCAUCAGUUGGAAUGGUUGGAUCUCCUUGCAGUCCAAGGGACUCUCAAGAGUCUUCUCCAGCACCACAGUUUGAAAGCAUCAAUUCUUUGGCACUCAGCCUUCUUUAUGGUCCAAUUCUCACAUCUGUACAUGACUACUGGAAAAACCAUAGCUUUGACUGGACAGACCUUUGUCGGCAAAGUGAUGUCUCUGCUUUUUAAUACACUGUCUCGGUUUGUCAAGGCUUUCCUUCCAAGGAGCUAGCAUCUUUUAAUUUCAUGGCUGCAGUCACCAUCCACAGUGAUUUUGGAGCCCCAAAAUAAAAUCUAUCACUGUUUCCACUUCCCAUUUAAUUGCCAUGAAGUGAUGGGACCUAAUUCCAAGUAUCAAAUCUGUAACAGUCAGAAAAAGUGAAUUAUAAAGCUGUCAAGAAAAGACAUCCUUUAGAUAGAGAAGCUCCCCUAAGGCUUCUCCAGACAAGUCAAGGAAAGCAGGACUGAGAGCUUGGAGAAGAGCUCUCUUAGGGCAAAUCAUCAGACACAGGUUCAAGUGCUGGCCAUUAGCUUAGUACCUAAGCAAAAUAUUACACAAAAAAAGAUUCUCUCUAAUGCUGUACAUGGAUUGCAUCAUUUGAAUGAGGCUCAAAAACAAUGUCACUAAAAGGUAGGGAAGAAUACUUGAAACCAAAGAAAGAGAAGUUUCCUUAGGAAAAUUGUCCACAUCAAUCUAGGAUCAAGUCUGAUCCUUGACUAAAUGCCACUUCAGACAAAACUUGUUGAAAUGUAUGUCAUAGUAUUAAUGCAAAAGUAAAUUCAUUUUAAGGUUUAUGGUUUCAUGUCUUACACUUAAGACUUUCACAGACUUCGAAUUCAUUUUUGUAUGUGAAUGUUACUCAACCACAGAAUAGAAGGAGCUCUUGCCAUUUGCCAACGUGGAUGAAGCUGGAGGGCAUUAUGCUAAGUGAAAUAAGCCAGAAAGAGAAAGACAAAUGUUGUGUAGUAUAACUUACAAGUAAAAUUUGGGGAAACAAAAAAAAGUCAAACUUAUAUAAACAGAGGGAAGUGGUGGUUUCCAGGAGUUGGAAGGUGGAGGAAAUGGGGAGAUGUUGAUUAAAGGGUACAAACUUUCAGUUAUAAGAUGAAUAAAGUUCUGAGAAUCUAAUGUAGAGUUAAUAAUACUGUAUUGGUACUUAAAAUUUGCGGAGAGGAGAUUUUCAAUAUUCUCACCAAUAAAAAGGUAACUACAUGAGG
Long non-coding RNA from Bos taurus (domestic cattle), 1635 nucleotides. Lineage: Eukaryota; Metazoa; Chordata; Mammalia; Artiodactyla; Bovidae. The record is from Ensembl.